RNAcentral lists this small nuclear RNA (150 nucleotides) under Cervus elaphus hippelaphus. RNAcentral describes it as "U2 spliceosomal RNA". It matches the Rfam family "U2 spliceosomal RNA". Rfam says of the family: U2 is a small nuclear RNA (snRNA) component of the spliceosome (involved in pre-mRNA splicing). Complementary binding between U2 snRNA (in an area lying towards the 5' end but 3' to hairpin I) and the branchpoint sequence (BPS) of the intron results the bulging out of an unpaired adenosine, on the BPS, which initiates a nucleophilic attack at the intronic 5' splice site, thus starting the first of two transesterification reactions that mediate splicing. RNAcentral also lists the same sequence under 1 other name. Lineage: Eukaryota; Metazoa; Chordata; Mammalia; Artiodactyla; Cervidae. The record is from Rfam by way of RNAcentral.
CUCGCUUCUCGGCCUUUUGGCUAAGAUCAAGUGUAGUAGCAUAUGUUCUCAAGGCAAAAUAGACCUGCAAAUUCUAUAAAGAAAAAUAAUCAAUUUGAUUAAGUUCAUCAGUGUUUUUCUUUUCCUUCCUAAAAGCUGCUGAAAAGAAAU